Perca flavescens (yellow perch) is the source of this 656-nucleotide long non-coding RNA. RefSeq lists it as uncharacterized. The transcript has 3 exons. NCBI's taxonomy places the organism in Eukaryota, Metazoa, Chordata, Actinopteri, Perciformes, Percidae. The record is from RefSeq and is a predicted model, not a curated record.
UGUACUUCGAGGUAUUUGUAUGAAUGGCAGUAUUUCUACUGGUUUUUUUGCUUGGGAAGGAACGACAGUACAGAGUUCAGCUGUGAUAACAUAUGGUUUCCCUUUAAGACAUUUUUUUUUUUUUAUAAUUAUAGGAUUUUAAUAACCUAGUUCUCUUUCCCACGGAGGAGUGCGCACUUACCUGUGAACUCAACAUCCAGAAAUAGGAACCAAACAAAUUUUAAGCCUGGAUGGCAGCAACCAUCACCGUGAUGCGAGCAAGAGCUUGGUCCAUUGAUCCUUGAAAGGGAGUUGUUGGAGUGUGAAUCAAGGGACCAGGUGCAGGUGUUGGGCGAGUGUGCGCCCUGCUGUCCUCUCCCUUCUGUUCUGCCCCCACCCAGCCUUCCCUCUCCUGUUGGCCCACAGCAGCAUUGGACCAAACCUCUUGGUACACCAUAUGGGUAUGAUUAACCCUGUCACUGCUGAGAACACCGUACAGGCACACUGUAGCUGCAGCUACCCUGAGAUGGAGCACCGUCUGCAGUCAUCCAACGUGCCACGUGUUCACCGGGCCAGCCAGCCAGCCGCCAUCUGCCUUGAAGACAAGACUGGCACUCUCACUCGCUAUAAAAUGCAGCUGGGAGAAUCAACAGCUGUUGAAGAAGAGCUCUUUCCAA